GUGCAUUUCCAGGGGGAAAGAAGGGGCUUAGUGAAGGAGAAUUUCCACCAUGGUUUCUCUUCCCUUGCCUGAGAACCCUCUGCCGCAUGAUGUGGAAUCCUUUUGUAAGGACCAGGAAGCGGAAGUGAGGUACUUACUCCAGGAGCAGCUCUAGUCCAGCCACCACAUGUCUGGGCUUUGGUCAAGUCCUUACUACUCAAAGUAUAGGCUGUGGCAUGGACCUGGGGCUUGCUAGAAAUGUGACAUUUCAGCUCCACUGACACCUGCUGGGUCAAAGCCUGCAUUUUAAUUGAAGUUUCAGAGCUCUGUAGGAAGUGACACAGUACUGGAUGCUGGGAAUAUAAACUGUUUGGCUCUGUCUUCCUGGAGCUGCAAUCUGAAGUGGGGAAAUCCUGAUGAAUUCACUGAGAACUCGUUCCACAGCGAGAGCAGUAUAGAGCUGUGCACUGAGUUACACAACUAUCAGACAGAUUUGCAUUCUUUCAUGAGAGAGCAAUGCUGACCAAUGGUGGAACUGUGUGAUGUUGCAGCCUUGGGAGGAGGCACAAGGAUAAUUUUGAUGCUGAUGGUCUCUGUAGAUUCAACCUGCUCUUGGAUCUUUAACAUACUGUGGCACUAGAAAUCAAGAAGUUACCAUUAACUGCAUGGUCACCUGACUUGUAGGAGGUCAAGGAAAUAAAGAUGUGAACAGACAAAAAACCCCAAGAGGGGCUCAGAGAGGGAGUGCUGAGAGCAUCUGUUCUGAGAAACUGCUGUUCAAAAUGGAAGGAAAUACACAAAGCCAAGAGGAACCUCCGUCGUGAGAAGAGCUGAGAGGUUAAUGCUAUUCUGACAGUAGAUGCUUCAUCGUUACUCCUAGUUGUGCAUAACUGGCCCUUAGAGCUUGUACCUAUCCCAGGACACAUUGUUAUUUGCUGGUGCUGAUACCAAUAAAAACAUCUUCCAUUUGGAAUAUGAUCAUUACAUCACAAGUCACAUCAUGGGCGAGAUGAAGAACAAUGCCUGUAGGACUCUUAGAAAAGCCAUCUCCAUGAGCCACUGCCUCCUUCUCAGCACCAGUAUUCUGGAAAGAGCACACCUCAUAAAGUCCUCCUGAAGGGCAGAGAUGCUGGGGAAUUUAUCCACCAACUCUUUCCCCUGUGGGCUCAGAGGAGCUCCUGAACAUGGACAUCAGCUUCCUGUCACUGGAACAGAGCCUUCUAAAAGAAAUGGUUCAUUUUGGCUCAUGAUUUGGGAGGUUAUGCUCAUCACACAUUUGGGCCUGAGAGGAGGUAGAACAUUGCACUGAGAGUGCAUGGUAAAGCAAAGCUGCUCACCUCAGGGCCAGGAAGUGAAAAAGAGGGGGUGGGGUUACACAGUCCUCUCUGGGACUCUAAGCAACGUAAGGACCUGGGACUUGGCCCGACCUGGAGUUCCCACUGUCUCCCAGUGUGCCAGCCAGGGACCAAGCCUUUAACACAUGGGGCACUUUGGAGGACACUCAAUAUCUGAACUACAGUGAUGAGACAAGCCUGCCCUGUCCAGAGAACACCCUCAGGCAGGGCAAGGACAGAGGCUUUUGGCUGUGGGCAACCUGCCUGUUGGGACCACAGGAUGAAGGGAUGUUGUAAGGCAUAGGCAGCUCUGCUGCAGGGACUGUGCCUUCCCCUUUUGGCAUCCUCAGUACUGAGACCACAUCUGGAAGUUCAUGAACACUCAGCAAAUGUUCAAUGAACACAGGAAUGGGUGAGGAAUGCAUGCACAGAAAGCUUAUUUUUUUCAAUUGUUAUUGUUUUGUUAGUACACGUUUGCAGUACAUAAUAAUUACUUUCCUUGUGGAGCGUUGCUACAUCUCAAGGUGUGCGUGACACAUCUCAAUUCUUUUUUCAUCCCCUUAUCCUCCUCCUCCUCACUCCUUCCAUCUCAUGCUCCCCCUCCUUAUUUGCAAAAGAUCUAUCUCCCUAUUUCCUACUAUCUAUCUUUUAUUUUGCACUUUACUUAUAUUUCAAGUUUCACAUGUAAGAGAAACUGUAUGAUAUUUAAGCUUGUGUAUCUGGUUCACCUCAAUCAACAUUAUGGUCUCAAGAUGUAUCCGUUUUGGGCUGUUGUACCACCCCCACCAGGACAGAGGAGGUGAGCUGCACAGGCACCAGCAGCAACAUCCCUCUCCCCCCCCCCCCCCGUCUAAAUGAGAGACAUGUAAAGAAGUCUCAAAAACAGACUUCCAGAUCACCUACAGCAACCCCAAAGGGAAACAAAAUGGAACACUCUGAUACUCAACCUGGACUCCCUGAACUGGCAACAAAAGAGGAUCUGUAAAAAAUUACAUUAGAAAUAAUUUCUCAGAUAACAGCAGAGAUUGUGCUCAUAGUGCAACACAUGAUUAAUAAAUCUAGAGAG
Molecule: long non-coding RNA, 2379 nt
Filed under: Heterocephalus glaber (naked mole-rat)
Lineage: Eukaryota; Metazoa; Chordata; Mammalia; Rodentia; Bathyergidae
Description: lncRNA (ENSHGLG00000046309.1)
Source: RNAcentral